CUUUGCAUCAGUUGAAUUACAUUUCGAAAGUGAUAACCACUCUUGUGAAAAAAUGAUGAAGCCAGUUCUUUUCACCUUCCUUUUGGUUGCCCUCUUUGCCGCGUACUCCGCAUCACCAGUCGCUGACGCUGACGCUGAAGCUGCACCAGCUCCUUGUUGGUGGUGGUGGAUGUUGUUGACUACCACA
Bradysia coprophila is the source of this 187-nucleotide long non-coding RNA. RefSeq lists it as uncharacterized. The record is from RefSeq and is a predicted model, not a curated record. Lineage: Eukaryota; Metazoa; Arthropoda; Insecta; Diptera; Sciaridae.